UACGUAGGGGGCUAGCGUUGUCCGGAAUAAUUGGGCGUAAAGAGCGUGUAGGCGGUCCGGUAAGUCCGCUGUGAAAGUCGGGGGCUCAACCCUCGAAUGCCGGUGGAUACUGUCGGGCUAGAGUGCGGAAGAGGCGAGUGGAAUUCCUGGUGUAGCGGUGAAAUGCGCAGAUAUCAGGAGGAACACCUAUUGCGAAGGCAGCUCGCUGGGACGUUACUGACGCUGAGACGCGAAAGCGUGGGGAGCAAACAGG
Molecule: ribosomal RNA, 253 nt
Filed under: uncultured bacterium
Lineage: Bacteria
Description: partial 16S ribosomal RNA
Rfam family: Bacterial small subunit ribosomal RNA
Source: RNAcentral